Transfer RNA from Cavia porcellus (domestic guinea pig), 72 nucleotides. It matches the Rfam family "tRNA". From Rfam's summary of the family: Transfer RNA (tRNA) molecules are approximately 80 nucleotides in length. Their secondary structure includes four short double-helical elements and three loops (D, anti-codon, and T loops). The record is from Rfam. NCBI's taxonomy places the organism in Eukaryota, Metazoa, Chordata, Mammalia, Rodentia, Caviidae.
GGGGAUUUAGCUCAGCGGCAUAAGUGCUUGCCUGGCAAGCAGGAGGUCCUGAGUUCAGUCCCCAAUUCUCCA